ACUACUAUGUGUGAAUCAUCGAAUCUUUGAACGCACCUUGCACUUUAGGAGUCCAUUCUAAAGUAUACCUGUUUGAGUAUCAUUUACCUAUAUCCAAUUUUAUUGGGAAUUGAGGGUUCAGGGGGAACUACGCCGCCUGUCUCUUUAAAUGUAGUAGGGUAUCAAGGAUAAGCGCGCCUUUAUCUUAUUAUGAGGAUAUUUACUCUAGCAGUAAAGCAAUCAUAAAAAUAAAGGAAGGCGAUAUCCAUAAAACUUGGACCCUUAACAAAAUUUCUGCUUUGCAGCAGCAAUACUUUGUACAACUGUGAUCUCAAAUCAGGCAAGACUACCCGCUGAACUUAAGCAUAUCAAUAAGCGGAGG
Molecule: ribosomal RNA, 361 nt
Filed under: uncultured Agaricales
Lineage: Eukaryota; Fungi; Basidiomycota; Agaricomycetes; Agaricales
Description: eukaryotic LSU rRNA
Rfam family: Eukaryotic large subunit ribosomal RNA (bases 306-361)
Source: RNAcentral